Varroa destructor (honeybee mite) is the source of this 1608-nucleotide non-coding RNA. NCBI's taxonomy places the organism in Eukaryota, Metazoa, Arthropoda, Arachnida, Mesostigmata, Varroidae. The record is from RefSeq and is a predicted model, not a curated record.
GGAAACGAAAGUACAUGAAACAAUCGUUAAGUCCAGAGCCCUUGCAUUUAUGAAGUCUGUCAACAAAAUGAAUUUGUUAAGGUUUGGAUACAAUAAUAUCACGUGCUCCAUCAGAUACUGGCUUAACUGCGACAAUCUGCUUUCAAAGACGUUCGAGUGUCUCCCGUAAUGGCGGAAACGGUGGUGCUCUUGACAUGCUCUGCCGUCGGCAAACUUUAAAUCUGGUCACAAUUCUUGUGCUGAGACACUGAAAAGCUAUAUCUAUAAAUGGUAUCUUUGAAGCCCAUGAAGGGAACUUUGUACAGAAGAGACAAGCAAAUUCAUUAGGUCAAGACGAUUCGACUGUUUAUUCCAAAGAAAAAAAAGGAACUGUUUAUGUGAAUGGUAUUGGCUUUACGUUUAAUGGCCACUGGAUAAAAGAACAACGAAGGGUCUUUCGGACAUAGAAAUCAGUUGCCGCAUAGCCGACGUGAAAUUCUAAUCGGUGGCAACUUAGUUGGCAAGGUGUAUGCAGCCAUGGCAGACUCGUUAGCGGGAGUUUGGCGCUUAGAGAGCAGUGACGAUUUUGAAGCGCUAAUGGCUUCGUUUGGUGUCGGCUUAAUCAUGAGAAAACUGGCAAUUAAAACUGUACCUACAUUAACCAUACUAAUAAAGAACGACAGUGAAUGGGAGAUUUGUACCGAGGUUUGGUCUAACACAUGGACGACGAAAUUCGAAAUUGGCAAGGAAUUCGACGAGAAAUUACCAAACGGUAAAAAGGUGAGGUUCGUAUGCAGCGUCGUUGAUCAAUGUCUUGUACAGCGCCAGAUAGAUUCGAAAUAUCCGACGAACAUCACCAGGUGGGUAGAGAAAUCAACGCUCAUAACGCGCAUUCAACACAAGAACGUGAUUUGCGUUCGCCGCUAUACCAAAAUAAGCCUGCCGUUACCAACAACUGAAUGACAACGUACCAAUAUUUGAGCUCCUUAUAGAUUGAAGUAGAUAAAGAUAGCAACCUCAAAAUAGCCCCAAUCUUCUCUUUCCGAUUCGGGGAUAUAUCGGCUUAUAAUAAUUGAUUACACAAAGGCACAUGAUCUUCAAAUGGGAGAAACCUGAAGUGACGUUGUAAGGACAUCGGUAACUGCGCAUAGUGACGGACGAGCCUCUGCUCAUAGGCAACGAUGUCAUGUCCAGCUUUUGCCUAGAUAGAGAGGCAAAUAGCACCUAAAUAAACCCCGAAAAUACGCGCUAAUGGAUAGUAAGCAUUUGAUGCUUCAUGCAAACUAAGGGUUGAUGUCGAGGGUAUUCGGUGAAAAUAAACGUUCGGAAAGGAAAAUCUGUGUCGCGGAUCCAGUUCAGUUAGGUUUAUCUUCACCUGCCCCUAUGCAAGCCUUCAUAGGCUUCGGUUAGGAUCCUUGCGUGUACAUUACAAUUCGAAGAUUAGAGGUGAUAAGACUCGGGUAACUACUCCUUACCUGCAUCGAUACGGGUCAAACCCAUGUCGAACCUCGAUUUUACGAGCAAGUUUGCAAAGGCAGUAUCUUCGGAAUCGUGAUCUGAUCGUUGAGCAUUUGUAGAGCUUCACUAAAACAUCUUUUAUCUUUCCAGAUAUAAUACCGAUGAGUUAAA